UACGUAGGGGGCGAGCGUUGUCCGGAUUUAUUGGGCGUAAAGAGCGUGUAGGCGGCCAGGUAGGUCUGCUGUGAAAACUCGAGGCUCAACCUCGGGACGUCGGCGGAAACCAUCUGGCUAGAGUCCGGAAGAGGAGAGUGGAAUUCCUGGUGUAGCGGUGGAAUGCGCAGAUAUCAGGAGGAACACCAAUAGCGAAGGCAGCUCGCUGGGACGUUACUGACACUGAGGCGCGAAAGCGUGGGGAGCGAACAGG
This 253-nucleotide ribosomal RNA is filed under the name uncultured bacterium. Its description in RNAcentral is "partial 16S ribosomal RNA". It matches the Rfam family "Bacterial small subunit ribosomal RNA", at positions 524 to 776 of the family's 1533-position model. The record is from RNAcentral.